Molecule: long non-coding RNA, 1798 nt
Organism: Anguilla rostrata (American eel)
Lineage: Eukaryota; Metazoa; Chordata; Actinopteri; Anguilliformes; Anguillidae
Exons: 2
Source: RefSeq, a predicted model, not a curated record
CGGCUGUAGUUCCCUAGCCACUAGUUUGGGGGCUGUAGGUUGGGGACUCGCCCAUAAAGAAAGGCCCAUCACAUGAUAGUAGCUUCGCGCCUCUUUCCUAAACCUUCUCGACACUGUAGAGAUUUCCAGCGGUCUAUCAGAAAAUGUUCAGAUUGCCGAGGACAACCAUGGAAGAAGCGAUUCAAACUCUGAAGAUCCUAACCGAUGGGCAGCCGUGACUCCUCGAAGACACCUUUAGACCUUUUCCUUGUCUUUUUUUUAAUUUUUUUUUAAACUUGGUUUUAAAAAAGAGUCAAUUUUAUAAUCCCUCAGGAAAAUACAAUUAUGAAGAUGUGGCAAUCUUACCUUCACAGCAGACCUCCUCUUAAGGUGCAUCUAGUGUAGUCAGUGAAAUGGCCUGGAAUCUACUGCGCUAGGUGCUCCUUCUGGAAGGAGGUACUGCACGAUCAGCACGUGGGACGCUGUCAGUAAUGCACCUGUGGGUCGAACCUGCGUGGGACCGCCCACGCACCUCAGCCCUGCAGAUGUGAUUUUAGCCUGUUCAUUCGGCGUGUAUGUUCUCUCAUCCUGAGUUUGUCUGGCUACCCUUUCCCAGACUUGCCCAGAAUGAUUUUGAGUUUCUGUGCUUGUUUGAAAUGGACUUACUGCCUCUGCAAAUCUGUGCUGUGAACAGUACUGUUUCUGCAAUCUUAUUUUGUAUUUAUUUUUGCGAAUCUUUGUCUCAAAUUAGAUCAGAUUGACAGUGAGUGUUUGUACUAGGGUGAUUUCAGCAGGAACAAAGUACUGAAGUGUACCAGCUGACUUGCUUCUGACGUCCUAGUCUCGUCCUCUAGAACUAAUCUUCCCUGCAGUUAAACAGUUCCCAUGUAGUUUGUAUCACUGGUUCAGGUCUAUGGUGGAGGGCUUUACCGGUAGGUUCCUGUUAAUCCUCAGGAAAACAUGCAAGUUUGAAUAUUUAUGUUUUGGGGAUCUUGGUUGAUAAUUUCAGCUUUAAGCAAAUAUUACUUUAUUUUUUUGUGCUCAAACUAUGAAUUAUUCACUGCUAACAGCACAGCUCUUGAGACAUCUGGCAGUAACUUUUGAAGUUUGACUGAUAUUCUACAACGGAAGAGUAAAUGAAUCAGAAAACAAGUGAAGUUGUAUGAUAUGGGCUCACCCUGUGAAAGACCCCUCAGCUGUAGUCUGUGCAGUUCCAAAGUGCUCACAGUGCAGGUAGUACCGUUAGCUCUACUGCAGUGUGUGCACUUCCAGUAUUGCCAGGCACCCUCCCCUGCCUGGCCACCAGCACAAUCCCCCCCACCGUUCUCUGGCUGUGUCUCACACUGGCAGGUUCACGGCGAGUUUUGCAGGAUUGCAUCCAGUUUGUGAAAAUCCCCGCUGUGCAAAUCCAUGCAAAACUCGUUGUGCCUGGGACUCUGUUGCUGGGAAGAAGUGACGUCUUAUAAAAUGCCAAAAAAAAUUGUGUUCAAGAUUCGCAGUCAUUGUCAGAAUUACUGUGAAGUAAAAAAAAAAAAAUUGUGGCUUUCUUUUGUCAGCUGCUUACAAAUGUGAGCACUGAAGUUUGGGUGGGUGCAUGCUGGGAUGCUGAAAUUGUUUGUCUCGCUGUUUCCGGGUGGAUGACUUUGCAAUUUUAAUGAAUCGUGAAAACCUCCAAAAAAAUUGCACGGUAUCCAUCUGUAAUCCGCCAGAUGUUCUGAUCUGCAGGGGUUUCUUUUUGUAAUUCAUCUUCCCUCUGCCUGUGCUGUUCGUGACUUUCAGAUGAAUGUGCUUGUUUUAAAUAAAUUGGUGUUAUUCUUUC